UUUCCGUAGGUGAACCUGCGGAAGGAUCAUUAUCAUGUAAUACAGUCCCCUUGGUUUUGUUAUAUUUAUACCCACUCUGUGUACCUUAUCCUGUUGCUUCCGCUGGGUGUGUAAUUCGCACGGCGGAAGGGUAAAAAUAACCUCUGAGUAUUAAUGAAAUCUCUGACUGAUCCGAAUAAAAAGAAAAAUGUUAAAACUUUCAGCAACGGAUCUCUUGGUUCUC
RNAcentral lists this unclassified non-coding RNA (223 nucleotides) under plant metagenome. RNAcentral describes it as "partial contains small subunit ribosomal RNA, internal transcribed spacer 1, and 5.8S ribosomal RNA". The record is from RNAcentral.